AUUGAACGCUGGCGGCAUGCCUUACACAUGCAAGUCGAACGGCAGCACGGGAGCAAUCCUGGUGGCGAGUGGCGAACGGGUGAGUAAUAUAUCGGAACGUGCCCAGUCGUGGGGAUAACGUAGCGAAAGCUACGCUAAUACCGCAUACGAUCUAUGGAUGAAAGCGGGGGAUCGCAAGACCUCGCGCGAUUGGAGCGGCCGAUAUCAGAUUAGGUAGUUGGUGAGGUAAAGGCUCACCAAGCCGACGAUCUGUAGCUGGUCUGAGAGGACGACCAGCCACACUGGGACUGAGACACGGCCCAGACUCCUACGGGAGGCAGCAGUGGGGGAUUUUGGACAAUGGGCGCAAGCCUGAUCCAGCAAAUGCCGCGUGCAGGAUGAAGGCCUCGGUUGUAAC
Molecule: ribosomal RNA, 397 nt
Filed under: uncultured bacterium
Lineage: Bacteria
Description: bacterial SSU rRNA
Rfam family: Bacterial small subunit ribosomal RNA
Source: RNAcentral